GACGAACGCUGGCGGCGUGCUUAACACAUGCAAGUCGAACGGAAAGGCCCUGCUUUUGUGGGGUGCUCGAGUGGCGAACGGGUGAGUAACACGUGAGUAACCUGCCCUUGACUUUGGGAUAACUUCAGGAAACUGGGGCUAAUACCGGAUAGGAGCUCCUGCUGCAUGGUGGGGGUUGGAAAGUUUCGGCGGUUGGGGAUGGACUCGCGGCUUAUCAGCUUGUUGGUGAGGUAGUGGCUUACCAAGGCUUUGACGGGUAGCCGGCCUGAGAGGGUGACCGGCCACAUUGGGACUGCGAUACGGCGCAGACUCCUACGGGAGGCAGCAGUGGGGAAUAUUGCACAAUGGGCGGAAGCCUGAUGCAGCAACGCCGCGUGCGGGAUGACGGCCUUCGGGUUGUAAACCGCUUUCGCCUGUGACGAAGCGGGAGUGACGGUAAUGGGUAAAGAAGCACCGGCUAACUACGUG
RNAcentral lists this ribosomal RNA (468 nucleotides) under uncultured bacterium. Its description in RNAcentral is "partial 16S ribosomal RNA". It matches the Rfam family "Bacterial small subunit ribosomal RNA", at positions 28 to 507 of the family's 1533-position model. The record is from RNAcentral.